CCCUUCGAUGUUCUGGGCUGCACGCGCGCUACAAUGACAAUGUCAGCGAGUUUUAAAUUUAUAUUCGCUUGUGCGAAAGCACUGGCAAAUCUUGUGAAACGUUGUCGUACUAUGGAUUGCUGAUUGCAAUUAUUCGGCAUGAAACAGGAAUACCUAGUAGGUGUGGUUCAUCAGACUGCGCCGAUUACGUCCCUGCCCUUUGUACACACCGCCCGUCGCUCCUACCGAUUGGGUGUGCUGGUGAAAUGUUCGGAUCGGCCGUUUGUCGCGGUUUCCGCGUCAUGUGGCUGAGAAGUUCAUUAAACCCUCCCACCUAGAGGAAGGAGAAGUCGUAACA
Molecule: ribosomal RNA, 337 nt
Filed under: uncultured eukaryote
Lineage: Eukaryota
Description: partial 18S ribosomal RNA
Rfam family: Eukaryotic small subunit ribosomal RNA
Source: RNAcentral